This 645-nucleotide ribosomal RNA is filed under the name Triticum aestivum (bread wheat). RNAcentral describes it as "partial small subunit ribosomal RNA". Lineage: Eukaryota; Viridiplantae; Streptophyta; Magnoliopsida; Poales; Poaceae. The record is from RNAcentral.
AUGGGUGUACGUCGCGAGGUGGAGGCGGUGGAUUCGUGCAUGGUGACGCCCAUGGAGCAGACGCCAAGCCAUGGCCUCUGGCUCUCCCCGCUCGACCUCGCAACUGUCAGUAUAGGCCUCAUCCCCACCGUCUACUUCUACAGCUCCAGCUCCGGCGUCGUCGACGACUUCUUCGACGUGGCCAGGCUCAAGGUGGCGCUGGCCAAGGCUCUCGUGCCCUUCUACCCACUCGCCGGCCGUAUCGGCGUGGACGGCGGCGGUCGAGCGGAGGUGCACUACGCCGGCCAGGGCGCGCUCUUCGUCGUCGCUCGCUCGGACCUCACCGUGGAUGGCCUCGUCGAUUGCCAGCCGUCGCCGGAACUAAGGAGGCUCUUUGUUCCCCGCUUCGAGGACUCGCCGUCCAUCAUGUGCGCCAUUCAGGUGACUUUCAUGGGAUGCGGUGGGGUCAUCCUGGGGACGGCGCUGCACCACGCCGCCGUCGACGCCGCAAGCGUGUUCCACUUCUUCAAGACGUGGUCCGCCUUCUCCAGAGACCUCCCGGGAGUGCGGCGCUCGACCUCCCGUGCCACGACCGUACCCUCCUCCGCGCGCGCACACCGCCCAUGGUCCACCCCGACGCUUUCACCGUGUUCUGCCCGAAGCUAA